RNAcentral lists this ribosomal RNA (795 nucleotides) under uncultured bacterium. RNAcentral describes it as "bacterial SSU rRNA". It matches the Rfam family "Bacterial small subunit ribosomal RNA", at positions 8 to 796 of the family's 1533-position model. The record is from RNAcentral.
AGAGUUUGAUCCUGGCUCAGAUUGAACGCUGGCGGCAUGCCUUACACAUGCAAGUCGAACGGCAGCACGGGAGCAAUCCUGGUGGCGAGUGGCGAACGGGUGAGUAAUAUAUCGGAACGUGCCCAGUCGUGGGGGAUAACGCAGCGAAAGCUGUGCUAAUACCGCAUACGAUCUCUGGAUGAAAGCGGGGGACUCGCAAGGGCCUCGCGCGAUUGGAGCGGCCGAUAUCAGAUUAGCUAGUUGGUGGGGUAAAAGCCCACCAAGGCGACGAUCUGUAGCUGGUCUGAGAGGACGACCAGCCACACUGGAACUGAGACACGGUCCAGACUCCUACGGGAGGCAGCAGUGGGGAAUUUUGGACAAUGGGCGCAAGCCUGAUCCAGCAAUGCCGCGUGCAGGAUGAAGGCCUUCGGGUUGUAAACUGCUUUUGUACGGAACGAAACGGUCUGCCUUAAUACGGUGGGCUAAUGACGGUACCGUAAGAAUAAGCACCGGCUAACUACGUGCCAGCAGCCGCGGUAAUACGUAGGGUGCGAGCGUUAAUCGGAAUUACUGGGCGUAAAGCGUGCGCAGGCGGCCUUGAAAGUCAGAUGUGAAAUCCCCGAGCUCAACUUGGGAACUGCGUUUGAAACUCCAAGGCUAGAAUAUGUCAGAGGGGGGUAGAAUUCCACGUGUAGCAGUGAAAUGCGUAGAGAUGUGGAGGAAUACCGAUGGCGAAGGCAGCCCCCUGGGUUACUACUGACGCUCAUGCACGAAAGCGUGGGGAGCAAACAGGAUUAGAUACCCUGGUAGUCC